UGGCUUGACUGGCAUUAUCGUUCAACCCACCCUGAAGCCGCUCGCUGUCCGUCAAAAGUAUUCCAAUCAAAACACUCAAUUACAGUUGGUUUAGCGUAGCGUGAGUGCGGACUUAUGGAUGGUGGUGCUCCGGGAGCCGUGGCUGACGCCGUGUGAGGCCUACCGCUGGUGUUUGUAGCCGGGCCGCCCGUGAAAAGGUGCUUCCGAGCGAUGGACGAGCAACAAAGAAUGAUGCACCCAGUAUCACAACAUCCCAUCGUGAGCAUGGCGGGCCAUGUCGUGCCCCAGCAUGGUUACGGAAUGCCUCCGCAAUCGCACGGUGUCGACCCGACGGGCCAACAGGCCGCACCCGACCAGGAGCCGAGGAAGCACGACAUUUCGGAAAUUCUCCAACAGAUCAUGAACAUCACCGACCAGAGCUUGGACGAAGCGCAAGCUAGGAAACACACGCUCAACUGCCACCGAAUGAAGCCCGCUCUCUUCAGCGUCCUCUGCGAAAUCAAAGAGAAAACAGUGCUGAGCUUACGGAACACGCAAGAGGAAGAGCCCCCUGACCCGCAGCUGAUGCGGCUGGACAACAUGCUGAUCGCCGAGGGCGUGGCGGGACCCGAGAAGGGCGGCGGUGCCGGCGCGGCCGCCAAUGCCUCAGCCGCCGCAUCGGCCGGCGGACAGCCCGAAAACGCCAUCGAGCACUCCGACUACCGGGCCAAGCUCGCGCAAAUCCGCCAGAUCUACCACCAGGAGCUCGAGAAGUACGAGCAGGCGUGCAACGAGUUCACGACGCACGUGAUGAACCUGCUGCGCGAACAGAGCCGGACGCGUCCCAUCACGCCCAAGGAGAUCGAGCGCAUGGUCCAGAUCAUCCACAAGAAGUUCAACUCCAUCCAGGUGCAGCUCAAGCAGAGCACCUGCGAAGCCGUCAUGAUCCUCCGCUCCAGGUUCCUCGAUGCCAGGCGGAAGAGGCGGAACUUCAGCAAGCAGGCGACGGAGAUCCUGAACGAGUACUUCUACUCGCACCUUAGCAACCCGUACCCGUCGGAGGAAGCCAAGGAGGAACUCGCAAGGAAGUGCGGCAUCACUGUCUCUCAGGUGUCUAAUUGGUUCGGCAACAAGCGGAUACGAUACAAGAAGAACAUAGGGAAAGCGCAAGAAGAGGCCAAUCUCUACGCAGCAAAAAAGGCAUUCCCGAAAAAGAAAACAGACAGACAUACGGCCGGCGCUUCAGCCUACAGCAUGGUGCCGACGACGCAGGGUCAGCAGGGUCCUAUGAUAAGCCCACCGCCGCCGGGCGCGCCGCAAGACUCCAUGUACAACAUGAGUAUGAACGGCGGAGACUCCUACCAGAACGCCAUGGGCGCCAACGUGCAAUCGCAGCUCUGCAAUUUGGAGACGUGGGCCUGAGGCAGCGGCGGCGGCGAUCGUUGAUGAUGGCUCGCGGGAUGAAGCUCGCCUCUGCUCUUUGGCAGCGCCAGUGUCGCGUCGUCGUCGCCUGCCGACCUAACCGCCGGCUUUUUGUAAAGACAGAAAGACACGUUACGCGGGAAGUCUCCCCCCUCCCCCUCCCAUCCUCACCUUGUCUCCUUCUUGCCCCGUUUCUUUCUUUUUUUUCUCCCUCGCCCCUGCGUCGGCCCAGGAAAAGAAUGCAAAAGAAAGGGGCAGAAGGAAACCACCAAAUGCAAAUAAGGACACCGGUGUGCACGCGUGCGUGUGUUUGUUCUCUGCGUGGCUCUUGUGUGCGUGCGUGCUCGCGCAACUCUGCCAAGUUUCGGCGAAAAGAAAGAAAGAAAAAGAAGGCAAGGGAGCUGACGGCGUGACAUCGUCACCACGGCGUUCCCCGGGAAGAAAACGAAGGCUGGAAAUUGAGCAAAAAGAAGAUGUCUGAGGAAAGCUGGCUGGGAACGUGGCGCUGUUCCCGUCUGUGAAGAAAAUGGCGGAGCGUCGACCUGCCGGCAAGUUCUGCGCGCUGGACCGACGCAAAGACCGUACCCAAAGGAGGAGGAGGAGGAAGAAGUCCCCACCAUCCCACAUCAUCCCCCGUGCGACGCGACGACCACCACCACUACCGCCGCUGCUGCUGCUGCUGACCCUGCGUGCUGCCGCAGUUCGACCCCAGAGUCGUGGGGGAAGAAAAAAAAAGAAAAUCCGCUUCUGCGUCUUUCGCGUUCCUCUUCACCGCCAUCCAUGAAAACGAGGGAGAGAGAAAGAGAGAGAGAGAACUCCCGACACCAGUCGGACGGAAAAAAACGACGUGUGUCGCCUCUCCCGGCACGCGCCGCCACCUGCCGCGUGCUCACGUGUGUAAAAACUGCUGCGCGGCACGGUGCUGUGACGGCAACCGCGGCUCCAGUGCCAGCGGUUGUGUGUACCUGCCCGCCGGCAGGCCUUCCAUCCCAUCCGAAGCCGGACUUGCAAAGACUGUGCUUAUUAUUAUUAUUAUUAUUUGCCCCCCGAAGAGCGAGCCCCCCUUCAUCGUUGUGCACGUCAUGUCGUGUCGGUUACGACGUUAUUGAACUGCUCGUCGUAGGGACUGACGCCAGAGGGACCUUCUUUUACCACUUGGCCGUUCGUUGAUUUGUACCGCGUAUGUCCGUGAGCCUCUUGCCACGUACGCCGCCGGUGUCGUUGCCGGGUACCGAUCGCGUUGCCUUGUGACGCCAUUAUAGCUCCCAGUGUGCAGCCUCUUGUCCCAUUUCGGCGGCAGUGUUUGUCGCUGUCAAGCAGAGGCGCUCUUCGCACUAGCUAGCUUCGUGAUUUCACCCGAGUUGUCGAAGCUGGUUGUACUCGCCAAGUUCACUGUUAUCCUGAAAGCUGGAGCAUGUCACUUUCUUUUUUUUUUAGCCCUUGACGCAGAGGUCGCUUCUACUAGAAGAGCCAGGGUAGGGGCCAGUUGGUUAUUCAUAGUGUAAACUUAAUCGCGCUAAAAGUCGCGACAAGUUUACACUAUGUCGCUUCUACUUAUACCUCCUGAUGAGCUACGGUCAAAUGUGGUUGUGCAUAUUACGUUGGAAGUUGAGCACACAUAAGCGGUCGUGAUAGUUUAGCUUGACACUUUGUAUUUACUUCGAGACAACGUGAAGUGGUCUCGUGCAUUAAUUAAUAAUAAUUUCUGGUGUUUUACAUGCUAAAAUCACGUGCAUUGAUUGGGAGAACGGAUAGUCCCUACUGUUCUUUUUCAAUCACUUUUACCAUUGGCAGUUAUUCUGACUGAAUACUCUGUCACUAAAAACGCGUGCUCGAAUGCUGACCCUAAGCACGCGAGAUCGAAUUACGGCCGCGGAGGCUGCAUUUCGAUGGAGGCGAAAUGCUAGAGGCCCGUGUACUUUCACUUAGUUGCAUGUUAAGGAACCCCAGGUGCUCGAAAUUUCCGGACCCCUCCAGUACGGCGUCACUCAUAAUCAUAUCGUGGUUUUGGGAAGUAAAACCCCCAUAAUAGUUAUUAUUAUUAUCUUUGACUAAAACAGCGAUGUGUCGUGGCGCGUCUGGCAGAUUUUAAUGGCCGCACAUUCGCCCAUUUUUAUAACACUGCAAUACUGAUCGAACUACUUCCAACCUGAAAGAAACACGCUUGCACUGGUACGAGAUAUGGCGUUUGACAGCUACUAAUGGAGAGCGUUCCCGCGAUCCGCGUAUAAGUUGCCGCCGAACUGGGACGUCUGAGUCGUACAGCGAAUGGGAAAUGUAAACGAGACUCAAACCGGGACGCGGUGAACGAUGCGUGGGCGCUCACGGACACACGUGUUCCUUGUCACAUUUUUUUUUAAGUACUUCCGAAUUGCUUGUCUGUGUUUGUUCACUUGGGAACGAAUGUUGCGACUGCUGCGAAGCCCAUCACCACUACGUCUCGGACGACUGUCUCAAAUGUGUAAGAUAAGAAGAUCAGUGAAUCUCUCCCGAUUUUCAGCACCUCUAACCCUUCGCUAACCUGGCCAUCCGCCACGUGUAGUUAAACGUGAACAUCGCUUCCUUCACUCGCCGGCGUUCAUUGUCGGCCUCGUUGGUGCUUGCCGGGCCGCCAGUGUGAUGGAUGUGUGUGUGUGUGCUGUCGACAGUAUUCACGGUUCUCAUCUCUCAGUUAUCGGGGCGGGAAACAUCUCGGGCCUGAAGGAGGAACUGUGCUUAUGAGCUUCCUCUUGCAACUCUCGCUCGCUAUAGGCCGCAUAUUCUGCGUACAAAACGGGUUCAGACGUGCUGUGGCGCGGGCCGUUUGAGGUCUGUGCAGAUCGAUGUCACUUACGCUGAAUAUUAAAGGAGUGUAGACACCAAAAUCGCACGGUAACCUGACACGAAAGUGACUACGCGGCAUGAUAUUUGAGUGCUUUUAAGGAAUGCUGUGGCUAAUUUUGACAGGAAACAGACGUCUUAAACUUAUUUGAAUCUUGAAGCCUAGAAACGAAGCGUUGCCUCCUUUUCCAGGCUUUAUCGCGAUGACCAUUAGCGAAAACGUAAAAAGAGCGAUUGCAAAAUGUGUGACGCUGGAGAUGUUCACAGCGAAUAUGACGACUGCGACCACAUAUGAAAAUGCUGCAGCGUGCGGUGCCAACGGAUCAAAAACGAAAAUGCUUUUGCACCGCCACUUCGCUUCCCGGCGGACGCCCAUGGUCGGAUACUCCCGACGCUGAUAGCGACGGCGAAAUAGUCUCGCUGCCGGGAGACUCGGCUGCGCGUUUCGCCACAGUUGGUGCGGCGAAGUGGAGGCGCACGUGCUAUAAAUGUAGCAGACUGCUCAACGGUUUACUGCUGUCACGUGAUUACUCAAUUAUGUCGUCAGACGAGGUAUUGUACCUUUUCGCGGGAGUUUUUGAAAUCUUCAUCCGAAGCUUUUGGUAUAUACACUCCUUUAAUGCGAGAAUACUAAUCCAAAUUGGGCAAUAAGUUAGAGGGAGGGGGCGGGGGGUUGAGGGGAGGCUUCAUGUACCGGAACGAUCACUUUCGGAGAUGCCUUUAGCCAGACCUAUCCGGUGUACACGUGACAAUAACUCGAAUGCGCCCGCCCACAGCUUGCCAACAGACGUGCAGUGCGACUGAUAUCCACGAAAAAGGUUGAUCGAGGUGUGUCGACAAGGAUUGAACUGUUAAGUUACAAAAACGGCGUCGCCAGAACUAUUAGGCCGUUAUUGCUUUGUGGCGCCCACAAUUAUUGAAUAAAAUGGCGCGUUUUCUACAAUACGUGCGCGCUGCUACUCCUCGAUUCUACCCGAGAUGUUUGCCGUUCUUUCUUUUUUUUUUUUUUUCAUUUCGUUGACCUGUGUUGAUCACGAGCAGUGUCCUUCAGUGUCGACACGAUUUUGUUACUAUUUUAAGUAUGAUCUGUUUGGUAGUCCCCUGUUAUGCCACUUCCGGUGACUGUUGCUUCUUCAAAGAAGCUAGUACUGUGCGCUGCAGCUGCGGCAGGCUUUUUGAGCCUGGACGCAAAAAAGAAAGAAUACAAAAACUAUGUCGUGGCCGACACUUAUUACAACUUUGCAGGGGUCAAUAUCUCACUUCGCGAUGGUGCUUCCCCCUUGACUUGGUGGUGAAAGCUUGAACUAAUUGCAUUUUCCCGUUUCAACGUCAGGAAUGUUUUUUUUUUUUCGAGUACCCGUGAAUCGUUCUUAGCUUCCAGAUUAAAAUUGCUGAUGACGCAAAUUAAUAUCUCUGCCAUCUCUCGUUGAACAGUUUGCCGCUCGGUACUUCGGAGGUCUGCUCAAUGCGAUGCCCUAUUCGUGUCUCAUCUGAACUAUUGGGCUUGUCUAGGAAGUAGCCAUCUAGGAGCUGUAUGUUGUAAAGAUCCCCCCCCCCUUGCUUAUUUGUUUUUCGUUUAUUAGUCUCAUCAUCAGCGAUAUCGGGGCGGUUGCAACAAGUAAGAGGGAUAGAAUCACCACAAAAUGAAUCUCCAUGACCGAUGUAACGUGUAACGAUGCAUUUCGUUCUAAUCUUCCUUUUCGUACGCCACUCACUAGCAGCUCUCGAUAAAGUAGAUGAAACGCAGCUCGCAUUACUUACGAGACGUGAAACUGAACAGUUAGAAUCGAUGCGAUUAGCCCGUCACUUGUGUGGUGCCGGUCCAUAGCAUAUGUUAAUGGGAAAUUAGUUUUGCGGAAUCCCAAAAGGUCGAUUAACGGUUAUGAAAGGGAAUAUUGGCAACCAUCCGUCUGUAACACGAAGCUACAAAGAAAUCCAUACCGAUUUCUCAGAAAGUACAGCUUCUUAGUUGUGGGUUCGUGUUGCAAACGAACGAAUGGCAAUUUUCCCUUCCAUAUACUGAGUCAGUGAGGCAGCAAAUAGUUGCGCGUUCGUUUCAAUUGAAGCUCGCAGCGAUAGGCGCUUAGCUGACGUUCCAGGCCGCGUGUUCGAUUGCCAUCUGCGGUGUACGCACUCCAGCUGGGGCUAAUUGGUGCGACACCCGUAUAAUAUAGAGUGAUUUGUCAGAAUUAUUCCGGAGCGGUCACCUACAUUGAAUCCUGCGGAGUCCAGGUUAGAGGGAUGGAGUAAGAUGACUCCUUGCAAAUUUGAGGGAGAGGGAUAGGGCUGAGUAUGGUUUACUAUAGACGCUUCAAAUUGAACCUUCGUGGUGAGUUCAAGGACACCAGGCGCGCGCUUUAUUUGAACCGUUCAAUUUAUCCAUCACAGCUGAAUGAGUUGACAUGGACUAUGUCUUCCGUAGGUGAGACGGUAACACGAUGGUCUCGGGUGGGUGAAAUUUAACCUUUUUGUUUAGGAGUAAGCCAGAUCAAGCUAUCUUUACCACGUAACGAUCCUUGUCGUGCUGUGCGAUUCUAGUAGGGCUAGAUAUGAUUUGGCCUGCGCGUCGGUGAAAAUUGCGAAAGACGCAGUGCGAUCAAACUCGUGCUUUCUUUUGGACCCUAAUCAAUAUGAAAAAAAAAAAAUGGACAGCUGGACCAGCAUGGCGUAGGUAAUACCAGCGCCACAGUCGAGUGAGGCAUCAGCAGCGGCGCUGAUUAUGAUCGGGCUCAUUAUCUCACGGCAGCGUACCCCCUCCAACUCGGCGCAUGGCCUCGCCGCCGCUCACAAGUUUUCUGAUUAAUUCCAACGUAGAACUCGGCGUGCUUGUCUUUAUAUUCUCCUCGGUAUUGCGCGCUGGAAGUCCUUCCCUCCUUCCGAGCUCGUCUUACGCCAGUGGAAGGACGGGUGAGGAGAUUCUCUGGUGCUCGACCCAGUUACGGUCUUUCCUCAAGAAUCUUUCUCAGUCCCACGCACAUUCUCUGGCGCUGUGUUGCUCGUGUUUCCCAGGCGGCCUGCUUGUUCCUCGACUCGCCAGGCGCGCGCCAGAGAGCCUCGGGUUCUCUUUUUUCAUUUAUUUUUUCGGACCUCGGCGCUUUCGGGCCGUGGGACGCCGCUGGUGGGAAGAAAAGUUUUCGGGAAGCGGCAGGGCCGUGAUCGUUGCCUCUCCUCUGGCUGCGUUCUUCGCUCCGGGCAGUGUGCGGAGGCGGGGGAAGGAGUGCGCGCUAGUAACAAGCAGCGACAUAGGCACGUUCUCCCGUAGCAGACGCGAAGAGAAAGUAAAAUGAAGGCUAUCUCAUUUUCUUGGGUGUCUCAGAUGUGCUGCUUGGGCAACGGUUAGAAAACUAGUGCUCGUGCUGAGAUAGCGAAGGGUAGAGGGGGGGAGGAAGCGAUAGAAAGUGGUCUUUUUUGGCCGCCCAUUGGACAAGGCGGUUUCGUCCCCUCCUCGACUGGACCAAUGAGCGAUUUGAGACACGCCCACUUUCUUGCGGCGUUCUCUCCCUUCCACCACCUCCUCGCAUCUGCGGGUGAGCGUCUUUCCGAUGCUCGCCUCUGGGUUUCCGUGCGGGGAUGGGGAGCCCGCACUCCGCCGUGCUCCGCGAGCGGUGGGCGAGAGGCGGCUGCUCGCGGCGCAUGCGCACUCUCGUGCGCUGCGCGAGCGCGCUCCGGGCCGAGUCUCGGCCGGGGUCCUGGCGGGCUCGGACGCCGACGGAGCCCGGGGUUCGUCUACGUGACUGGGAGCCGCUUUGUAUCGCCGGGAAGCCUUUUGAGAAUUGAUCAAUGCGUCCAUCCUGUUGCUUGGCGGAAUCUGCACUUUCCUAUUCCUCGCUUGUCACGUUCUCUGUAGGAAUGAAA
This is an RNA transcript of Rhipicephalus sanguineus (brown dog tick), 8076 nucleotides long. It is a transcript of the gene named homeobox protein extradenticle, with no coding region annotated. Lineage: Eukaryota; Metazoa; Arthropoda; Arachnida; Ixodida; Ixodidae. The transcript is spliced from 10 exons. The record is from RefSeq and is a predicted model, not a curated record.